AUACAGAGGGUGCGAGCGUUAAUCGGAAUUACUGAGCGUAAAGCGCGCGCAGGCGGCUAUUUAAGUUGGAUGUGAAAGCCUACGGCUCAACCGUAGAACUGCAUCAAAAACUAUUUAGCUAGAGUGUGGGAGAGGAAGAUGGAAUUAGUUGUGUAGGGGUAAAAUCCGUAGAGAUAACUAGGAAUACCAAAAGCGAAGGCAAUCUUCUGGAACACUACUGACGCUGAGGCGCGAAAGCGUGGGGAGCAAACGGGAUUAGAAACCCCAGUAGUCC
Molecule: ribosomal RNA, 274 nt
Filed under: uncultured bacterium
Lineage: Bacteria
Description: partial 16S ribosomal RNA
Rfam family: Bacterial small subunit ribosomal RNA
Source: RNAcentral